Molecule: unclassified non-coding RNA, 200 nt
Filed under: Flagelloscypha sp.
Lineage: Eukaryota; Fungi; Basidiomycota; Agaricomycetes; Agaricales; Niaceae
Description: partial internal transcribed spacer 2
Source: RNAcentral
UUAAGUUCAGCGGGUAGUCCCAUCUGAUUUGAGGUCACAUUAGUCAAUAGUAGCCCUGUAGCGGACUAGUCUCGCAAUUGAGACAGUUAGAAGCAGGCCCAUUCCAAAGUUCAAAUAUGCGCAAUGACUAAACCAACGGCGUAGACAAUUAUCUCACCAGGAGGUCUUCAAGCAUCAAAGCACUUGAAACCAUGUACUAG